This 827-nucleotide ribosomal RNA is filed under the name uncultured bacterium. RNAcentral describes it as "bacterial SSU rRNA". It matches the Rfam family "Bacterial small subunit ribosomal RNA", at positions 1 to 853 of the family's 1533-position model. The record is from RNAcentral.
CCGCGGGAUUAGAGUUUGAUCCUGGCUCAGCCUGAACGCUGGCGGCGUGGCUAAGACAUGCAAGUCGUACGGUGUAGCAAUACACAGUGGCGAACGGGCGAGUAAUGUAUCGCUAACGUGCCCCGGACUCUGGGAUAGCUACUCGAAAGGGUAGGUAAUACCAGAUGAUAUGACCUGAUCGCAUGAUCGGGUCCUCAAAGGUCCGCCGGUCUGGGAGCGGGCGAUAUCGUAUCAGCUAGUUGGUAGGGUAACGGCCUACCAAGGCUGCGACGCGUAGCCGGACUGAGAGGUUGACCGGCCACAUUGGGACUGAGACACUGCCCAGACUCCUACGGGGGGCUGCAGUAACGAAUCUUCCGCAAUGCACGAAAGUGUGACGGAGCGACGCCGCGUGUGGGACGAAGUUCUUCGGAAUGUAAACCACUGUCAGGGAUUAGAAAGUUCUGAUCAAUCCCAAAGGAAGGCACGGCUAACUCUGUGCCAGCAGCCGCGGUAAUACAGAGGUGCCAAGCGUUAGGCGGAAUCACUGGGCUUAAAGCGUGUGUAGGCGGACUUCUAAGUGCCUUGUGAAAUCCCACAGCUUAACUGUGGAACUGCUGGGUAUACUGGAAGUCUUGAGCAACCUAGGGGCGAGCGGAACAAAUGGUGGAGCGGUGAAAUGCGUAGAUAUCAUUUGGAACGCCAAAGGUGAAAACAGCUCGCUGGGGGUUUGCUGACGCUGAGACACGAAAGCUAGGGGAGCAAACGGGAUUAGAUACCCCGGUAGUCCUAGCCGUAAACGAUGUCGACUAGAUCGUGGAGCCUCUGACGGUCUCACGGUCGAAGCA